Bison bison bison is the source of this 127-nucleotide unclassified non-coding RNA. NCBI's taxonomy places the organism in Eukaryota, Metazoa, Chordata, Mammalia, Artiodactyla, Bovidae. The record is from Ensembl.
UUACUUCAGUCUCACGAGCUUGUGGCUCCACCUGCCCAUCCUCUAGGUAAAUGCCCAUCUGACUGCCAUUCAGGCCAUUUAACAGGAAAGACAGCAACCAUCAAAAUAAUAAUCUAGCAGAAUAUUU